AACGCACAUUGCGCCCCUUGGUAUUCCGGGGGGCAUGCCUGUUCGAGCGUCAUUAUAACCCUCAAGCCUAGCUUGGUGUUGGAGCCUGCCUCUGGGCAGCUCUUAAAAUCAGUGGCGGUGCCGUCUGGCUCUAAGCGUAGUAAUUUUUCUCGCUACAGAGUCCCGGCGGUUGCUUGCCAACAACCCCAAAUUUUCUAUGGUUGACCUCGGAUCAGGUAGGGAUACCCGCUGAACUUAA
This 238-nucleotide unclassified non-coding RNA is filed under the name Rhytismatales sp. RNAcentral describes it as "partial contains 5.8S ribosomal RNA, internal transcribed spacer 2, and large subunit ribosomal RNA". Lineage: Eukaryota; Fungi; Ascomycota; Leotiomycetes; Rhytismatales. The record is from RNAcentral. RNAcentral also lists the same sequence under 1 other name.